UACGGAGGGUGCAAGCGUUGUUCGGAUUUACUGGGCGUAAAGCGCGCGCAGGUGGGUGUGCAAGUCGGAAGUGAAAUCCCAGGGCUCAACCCUGGGGCUGCUCCCGAAACUGCACGCCUAGGGACUGGUAGAGGCUGGUAGAAUUCCCGGUGUAGCGGUGGAAUGCGUAGAGAUCGGGAAGAAUACCCGUGGCGAAGGCGGCCAGCUGGGCCAGGUCCGACACUGAGGCGCGAAAGCGUGGGGAGCAAACAGG
RNAcentral lists this ribosomal RNA (253 nucleotides) under uncultured bacterium. Its description in RNAcentral is "partial 16S ribosomal RNA". It matches the Rfam family "Bacterial small subunit ribosomal RNA", at positions 524 to 776 of the family's 1533-position model. The record is from RNAcentral.